CCAUUUCUAAACCCAAUCCAGCCCCUACUCAUUUCUUCUUUUCUUCUACACCAAAUCCCUAUCCAUUUCUUCCACCCAUUUCUUCUACAGCAAAUCAGAAGCGAAAAGGAAAUUCUAAACCCAAUCCAGCCCCUACCCAUUUCUUGUUUUCUUCUACACCAAAUCCCUACCCAUUUCUUCCACCUAUUUCUUCUACAGCAAAUCAGACACGAAAAGGAAAACAGGAACAAUGGAUCAGAGGCAAGAAUCAUAGGCGAGAGACAAGAAAAAAUGGCGAGUCCGAUGACAGUGAAGAUGAAGAUGAAUCUAUCUUGAACACUCAAACCUAAAGGAAAAGAUUGCUUCAGUUUGUCUGCUUUCUCCGAGUAAAACACACACAAUACAGUGAGAAGGAAGUCCAUCUUGUGAAUCUGCUUAGGGAUUUACAUGGGUUGAAGUGUCAUUUUACAAA
Molecule: long non-coding RNA, 451 nt
Organism: Ipomoea triloba (trilobed morning glory)
Lineage: Eukaryota; Viridiplantae; Streptophyta; Magnoliopsida; Solanales; Convolvulaceae
Exons: 3
Source: RefSeq, a predicted model, not a curated record